This 439-nucleotide ribosomal RNA is filed under the name uncultured bacterium. RNAcentral's name for it is "bacterial SSU rRNA". It matches the Rfam family "Bacterial small subunit ribosomal RNA", at positions 959 to 1397 of the family's 1533-position model. The record is from RNAcentral.
ACGCGCGGAACCUUACCAGGUCUUGACAUCCUCUGACACUCCUAGAGAUAGGACGUUCCCCUUCGGGGGACAGAGUGACAGGUGGUGCAUGGUUGUCGUCAGCUCGUGUCGUGAGAUGUUGGGUUAAGUCCCGCAACGAGCGCAACCCUUGAUCUUAGUUGCCAGCAUUUAGUUGGGCACUCUAAGGUGACUGCCGGUGACAAACCGGAGGAAGGUGGGGACGACGUCAAAUCAUCAUGCCCCUUAUGACCUGGGCUACACACGUGCUACAAUGGAUGGUACAAAGGGCAGCAAAGCGGUGACGCCUAGCAAAUCCCAUAAAACCAUUCUCAGUUCGGAUUGUAGGCUGCAACUCGCCUACAUGAAGCUGGAAUCGCUAGUAAUCGCGGAUCAGCAUGCCGCGGUGAAUACGUUCCCGGGCCUUGCACACACCGCCCGU